Non-coding RNA from Nicotiana tabacum (common tobacco), 311 nucleotides. The record is from RefSeq and is a predicted model, not a curated record. Lineage: Eukaryota; Viridiplantae; Streptophyta; Magnoliopsida; Solanales; Solanaceae.
GCUAAGUCAAAAAUAUCAGUAAACUUAGGAACGUAUUGAUUCUUUUUAGCUAACUUCAAGUUGUUUAUUUGAAUUUAAAAACAAUAUUUGGUACAGUAUUUGCUAUAGUUUAUAAGUGUUAAAAAAACAAUUUAGUGGAGUUUCUCCAUUGACGCAAGGUAAGUUAAGUUCUCAAGGAGAAUACAGACAUUAGUAUAUGUAAGUGAGAUUUGUGAUUCUUGGGUGUUUUACAGCUAUGUAUACAUAGCGUUUAUGCUCAUUCAUUUAUCCUAGAAAGUCAUUUGCAGUUCAAGAUCAGCCAUUUAUCAGAG